RNAcentral lists this ribosomal RNA (331 nucleotides) under uncultured eukaryote. RNAcentral describes it as "partial 18S ribosomal RNA". It matches the Rfam family "Eukaryotic small subunit ribosomal RNA", at positions 1470 to 1796 of the family's 1831-position model. The record is from RNAcentral.
CCCUUAGAUGUUCUGGGCCGCACGCGCGCUACACUGUUCGACGCAGCGAGUCUUAACCUUGACCGAAAGGUUUGGGUAAUCUUCAGCAAAGUCGAACGUGAUGGGGAUCGAUCAUUGAAAUUAUUGAUCGUGAACGAGGAAUUCCUAGUAAGUGCAAGUCAUCAGCUUGCGCUGAUUACGUCCCUGCCCUUUGUACACACCGCCCGUCGCUACUACCGAUUGAAUGGUUUAGUGAGAUCUCUGGAUUGACGCUGGCUAGGGGGCGACCCUUGGCCAGACUGUUGAGAAACUGCUCAAACUUGAUCAUUUAGAGGAAGUAAAAGUCGUAACA